UUGUAAGUGUUUAAGAGCGUUCGGUGGAUGCCUUGGCACCAGGAGCCGAUGAAGGACGUAGGAGGCUGCGAUAAGCCUCGGGGAGCUGUCAACCGAGCUGAGAUCCGAGGAUUUCCGAAUGGGGAAACCCAGCACGAGUGAUGUCGUGUUACCCGCGCCUGAAUAUAUAGGGUGUGUGGAGGGAACGUGGGGAAGUGAAACAUCUCAGUACCCACAGGAAGAGAAAACAAGAGUGAUUCCGUGAGUAGUGGCGAGCGAAAGCGGAUGAGGCUAAACCAUGUAGAUGUGAUAGCCGGCAGGCGUUGUCUAUGUGGGGUUGUGGGGUUGCUCUUCCCGGUUCUGCCGAGCUGGGCGUGAGUCAGAAACCGUUGUGUUAGCUGAAGUGGUCUGGGACGGCCUACCGUAGACGGUGAGAGUCCGGUAAGUGAAAACAUGACGGCUCAUGUGAGUGAUACCCGAGUAGCAGCGGGCCCGUGAAAUCUGCUGUGAAUCUGCCGGGACCACCCGGUAAGCCUGAAUACUCCCUGGUGACCGAUAGCGGACUAGUACCGUGAGGGAAAGGUGAAAAGUACCCCGGGAGGGGAGUGAAAUAGUACCUGAAACCGUGCGCUUACAAUCCGUCAGAGCCUGCGCCCAGUUUUCUGGGGUGGGUGAUGGCGUGCCUUUUGAAGAAUGAGCCUGCGAGUUAGUGGCAUGUGGCGAGGUUAACCCGUGUGGGGUAGCCGUAGCGAAAGCGAGUCCGAAUAGGGCGUUGAGUCGCGUGUUCUAGACCCGAAGCGGAGUGAUCUACCCAUGGCCAGGGUGAAGCGACGGUAAGACGUCGUGGAGGCCCGAACCCACUUAGGUUGAAAACUGAGGGGAUGAGCUGUGGGUAGGGGUGAAAGGCCAAUCAAACUCCGUGAUAGCUGGUUCUCCCCGAAAUGCAUUUAGGUGCAGCGUCACGUGUUUCACGCCGGAGGUAGAGCUACUGGAUGGCCUAGGGGGCCUACAAGCUUACCGAAGUCAGCCAAACUCCGAAUGCCGGUGUGUGAGAGCGUGGCAGUGAGACUGCGGGGGAUAAGCUUCGUAGUCGAGAGGGAAACAGCCCAGAUCGCCGGCUAAGGCCCCUAAGCGUGUACUAAGUGGAAAAGGAUGUGGGGUCGCGAAGACAACCAGGAGGUUGGCUUAGAAGCAGCCACCCUUGAAAGAGUGCGUAAUAGCUCACUGGUCAAGUGAUCCUGCGCCGACAAUGUAGCGGGGCUCAAGUACACCGCCGAAGCCGCGGCACUCCAACAUGACAUCCGCAUCGGGUUACGGUCCGGUGCGCAGUGGUUGGGGUGGGUAGGGGAGCGUCGUGCAGCCAGGGAAGCAGCAGUGUGAACUAGUUGUGGAGGCUGUGCGAGUGAGAAUGCAGGCAUGAGUAGCGAAAGACGAGUGAGAAACUCGUCCGCCGAAUGACCAAGGGUUCCUGGGCCAGGUUAAUCCGCCCAGGGUGAGUCGGGACCUAAGGCGAGGCCGACAGGCGUAGUCGAUGGACAACGGGUUGAUAUUCCCGUACCCGUGUAUCCGCGCCCAAUGGCGAAUCAUCUGUGCUAACCGUCCUGAACCUGAGCGAUCUCCUUCGGGAGACGUGAGGGGGAUGCACGGGACCCUGGGUGUAGUAGUCAAGCGAUGGGGUGACGCAGGAAGGUAGCUGGGCCAGUGAGUGGUUGUACUGGUGUAAGCCUGUAGGGCGUUGUGUAGGCAAAUCCGCACAACAU
This 1739-nucleotide ribosomal RNA is filed under the name Nocardia farcinica. RNAcentral's name for it is "partial 23S ribosomal RNA". It matches the Rfam family "Bacterial large subunit ribosomal RNA", at positions 1 to 1552 of the family's 2925-position model. Lineage: Bacteria; Bacillati; Actinomycetota; Actinomycetes; Mycobacteriales; Nocardiaceae. The record is from RNAcentral.